This 22-nucleotide microRNA is filed under the name Bos taurus (domestic cattle). Its description in RNAcentral is "bta-miR-2439-3p". The record is from miRBase by way of RNAcentral. Lineage: Eukaryota; Metazoa; Chordata; Mammalia; Artiodactyla; Bovidae.
UAUCAGAAGACAGGUAGGCAGA